This 216-nucleotide long non-coding RNA is filed under the name Coffea arabica (coffee). RNAcentral's name for it is "long non-coding RNA (CARA_LNC004695)". The record is from RNAcentral. Lineage: Eukaryota; Viridiplantae; Streptophyta; Magnoliopsida; Gentianales; Rubiaceae.
GAUUUUUAUCCUUGCCUUCCCCUUUGUCAAACGUGACCCCCGAACCUUUUUCUUUGGCUUACGUGGACUAGGAGUCGUUUUAAAAAGGGUUUUACUACUUUGUCUUUAAAAAACACUUUUUUUGGGUGACUUGGUACACCCCAAAUCUAUACCAAGUGGCGACUCCGUUUUUCAUAUUUAAAAACCCUUUUUAAAAUUUCAUUUGGCCAAAUCGUC